AGCAGUCGCCGCGGUAAUACGUAGGUGGCAAGCGCUGUCCGGAAUUAUUGGGCGUAAAGGGCUCGCAGGCGGUUUCUUAAGUCUGAUGUGAAAGCCCCCGGCUCAACCGGGGAGGGUCAUUGGAAACUGGGAAACUUGAGUGCAGAAGAGGAGAGUGGAAUUCCACGUGUAGCGGUGAAAUGCGUAGAGAUGUGGAGGAACACCAGUGGCGAAGGCGACUCUUUGGUCUGUAACUGACGCUGAGGAGCGAAAGCGUGGGGAGCGAACAGGAUUAGAUACCCCAGUAGUCCCUGUCUCUUAUAC
RNAcentral lists this ribosomal RNA (303 nucleotides) under uncultured bacterium. RNAcentral describes it as "partial 16S ribosomal RNA". It matches the Rfam family "Bacterial small subunit ribosomal RNA", at positions 507 to 807 of the family's 1533-position model. The record is from RNAcentral.